RNAcentral lists this ribosomal RNA (119 nucleotides) under Pteropus alecto (black flying fox). The record is from RNAcentral. RNAcentral also lists the same sequence under 1 other name. Lineage: Eukaryota; Metazoa; Chordata; Mammalia; Chiroptera; Pteropodidae.
GUCUACGGCCAUGCCACCCUGAACAUGCCCAAUCCCGUCUGAUCUUGGAAGCUAAGAAGGGUUGGGCCUGGUUGGUACUUGGGUGGGAGACCACCUAGGAAUACCAGAUGCUGUAGGCU